This is a long non-coding RNA of Diabrotica virgifera virgifera (western corn rootworm), 985 nucleotides long. RefSeq lists it as uncharacterized. The record is from RefSeq and is a predicted model, not a curated record. Lineage: Eukaryota; Metazoa; Arthropoda; Insecta; Coleoptera; Chrysomelidae. The transcript has 2 exons.
UCUCAGGGACUGGUUUGCUGCAUCUCCUUCUAACACAUUGUAUCGAGAAUCUAUAAUCACAUUCAGUGUGAAUAUAGGCACGGAAGAGGAGGACAACUGUAGCAGCUUUACUAUGCGUAAGAGUGAAACAGCACUAAUCCAAAUAAAAAAGAUGGUGUCGUCACUUCGCUCUGAAUGACACUCUCUCUAUGCUAAUAUUUAACUCUAUGAUAUGGAUCCAAAUGCAAAAUUUUUUUCCUACGAUGAUCCUCUCGUGUUAUUUUUAUUUAGUCACUGACGUCACUGUUUACAUUGACAUUUAUUUGUAAAUGUUUUUAGACGAAUAUUCUGUUUGGUUUUGUUUUUUAUUGUUAAUUGUGCAGCGAAAUUGUGAUAGUAAAUUAAAUAUAAAGUUGUUUAUAGCCUACAGAACUGAAUUAUCCCAUAGUAAUUAUCAGUUUGUGUGUAAAAAAGAAAAAACACUUUUCCUUGUGUUUGACCGACUUGUAGCAAGGGCUUUCUUGAGAAGCCUGUAAAUUGCGGGAAUAGGACAGACAGGGAUAAAAUCCUCACUUUUUACUGUUCCCAAGGCUAUACAUUUCCCCCAUGCAAUACAUUUAAAUGAAUUUUAUCCAAACAAAGGCAGGAACAUUGGAUAAAAGCAAUAAAGAGAACAGACCACAAAUUAAAAUAUGACAGUAUGCAGUAAACAUUUAAUAAGUGGAAUAAACACCAGCUAUUUUAAAUGUAGGAAAAGGAGAAACUGCUGGAACCUAAUUUUACACAAAUGUUUUUGACUAUUGAAGAUUUGGAUAAACAACAGAAGUUACUUUGGGCUAUAGCUAUGUGCAGAUUUAUUUCCUUGUGGAUUACUAUGUUUAUUCUUUUUAACUAUACUUCCUAUAUUGUUUGUGAGAUUAAUAUUAUAUUUAAUUGAUUAUAUUAAUAUUUUGUAAUAAUAAUCAAUGCUUUGGUUUAACAAAAUAGACAACUUAGAAUAGAACAA